CUGCCAUGCAAGAUGUGACUUUGCUCUUCAUUCACCUUCUGCCAUGAUUGUGAGGGCUCCCCAGCCAUGUAGAACUAAAUUGUGGAGCCACCAUCUCUAAACAUCCUGCCUAACAGGACUUCUAGAAGUUCGCCAAAGGUCUCCUCAACCCCAGUUCAGUGAUAUAAUUUUGGUUUCUGAAGAGUGUUGACAUUUAUGGAUCGUCUGGUUGGAGAACUAAAGAAAUUUCUGGCAAGUGGAUACCACAUUGACAAGGUGCUCAUCAGCUGGUACAAUGGACCUUUAUCUCAGAGUUUAAAUUUAUUUGCAAGUGAUCUGAAAAGUCCAAGGCUUACCAUAUUUGAUGAAGAAAAUCAUACUCUAUAAGUGGAACUUGCUAUUUGGAAUUCCUCAAAGGGUCAAGGAUCCACUGGUAUGUCUUUGAAUGAGACACG
Molecule: long non-coding RNA, 434 nt
Filed under: Homo sapiens (human)
Lineage: Eukaryota; Metazoa; Chordata; Mammalia; Primates; Hominidae
Description: HSALNT0337809
Source: RNAcentral